GCGGCAGCGACGCUUAUGCGUUGUUGGGUAGGGGAGCGUUCUGUAAGCCUGCGAAGGUGUGCUGUGAGGCAUGCUGGAGGUAUCAGAAGUGCGAAUGCUGACAUAAGUAACGAUAAAGCGGGUGAAAAGCCCGCUCGCCGGAAGACCAAGGGUUCCUGUCCAACGUUAAUCGGGGCAGGGUGAGUCGACCCCUAAGGCGAGGCCGAAAGGCGUAGUCGAUGGGAAACAGGUUAAUAUUCCUGUACUUGGUGUUACUGCGAAGGGGGGACGGAGAAGGCUAUGUUGGCCGGGCGACGGUUGUCCCGGUUUAAGCGUGUAGGCUGGUUUUCCAGGCAAAUCCGGAAAAUCAAGGCUGAGGCGUGAUGACGAGGCACUACGGUGCUGAAGCAACAAAUGCCCUGCUUCCAGGAAAAGCCUCUAAGCAUCAGGUAACAUCAAAUCGUACCCCAAACCGACACAGGUGGUCAGGUAGAGAAUACCAAGGCGCUUGAGAGAACUCGGGUGAAGGAACUAGGCAAAAUGGUGCCGUAACUUCGGGAGAAGGCACGCUGAUAUGUAGGUGAAGCGACUUGCUCGUGGAGCUGAAAUCAGUCGAAGAUACCAGCUGGCUGCAACUGUUUAUUAAAAACACAGCACUGUGCAAACACGAAAGUGGACGUAUACGGUGUGACGCCUGCCCGGUGCCGGAAGGUUAAUUGAUGGGGUUAGCGGUAACGCGAAGCUCUUGAUCGAAGCCCCGGUAAACGGCGGCCGUAACUAUAACGGUCCUAAGGUAGCGAAAUUCCUUGUCGGGUAAGUUCCGACCUGCACGAAUGGCGUAAUGAUGGCCAGGCUGUCUCCACCCGAGACUCAGUGAAAUUGAACUCGCUGUGAAGAUGCAGUGUACCCGCGGCAAGACGGAAAGACCCCGUGAACCUUUACUAUAGCUUGACACUGAACAUUGAGCCUUGAUGUGUAGGAUAGGUGGGAGGCUUUGAAGUGUGGACGCCAGUCUGCAUGGAGCCGACCUUGAAAUACCACCCUUUAAUGUUUGAUGUUCUAACGUUGGCCCCUAAUCGGGGUUGCGGACAGUGUCUGGUGGGUAGUUUGACUGGGGCGGUCUCCUCCUAAAGAGUAACGGAGGAGCACGAAGGUUGGCUAAUCCUGGUCGGACAUCAGGAGGUUAGUGCAAUGGCAUAAGCCAGCUUGACUGCGAGCGUGACGGCGCGAGCAGGUGCGAAAGCAGGUCAUAGUGAUCCGGUGGUUCUGAAUGGAAGGGCCAUCGCUCAACGGAUAAAAGGUACUCCGGGGAUAACAGGCUGAUACCGCCCAAGAGUUCAUAUCGACGGCGGUGUUUGGCACCUCGAUGUCGGCUCAUCACAUCCUGGGGCUGAAGUAGGUCCCAAGGGUAUGGCUGUUCGCCAU
This 1404-nucleotide ribosomal RNA is filed under the name human gut metagenome. Its description in RNAcentral is "bacterial LSU rRNA". It matches the Rfam family "Bacterial large subunit ribosomal RNA", at positions 1202 to 2587 of the family's 2925-position model. The record is from RNAcentral.